ACUGAGUAAAGCCAAGACAGAGGAAUGGAGCCACAGUCUCCUACUGAGUCCACAUCAUCACCAGUGCAAACACAUGUAGCAAAGGAUUUCAGUUUUAUUUACUAUUUCAGUCUGUGGAGUAACCAACUGGGGAGACGUUUGAAGGAAGGGCUGCUGUGAUUCUGAUCUUAGAUGCCUUCUUGAAGUCAAUCACAAAAGCAGCAGUCAACUCGGCUGAACCAUGACCUUAGACUUUCAGUCUCCAGAACAUUGAAACAUAAAUUUCUAUUGCUUAAUAUAUGUAACAAGCAAUAAUUUUUUGUAGCAUGUUCAUAUCUCUAUCUAUGGCUAAUUAUCUAUCUUAUACCUUAUAAUAUGUUUAGCAUUAAUGAUCCAAGGACAGUGACUAGAUCACACAUUUAUGUAGUUCUUCCUUCAUAUUUCAUCACUUCACAGGUUUAAGUGAAAGAAGCCCAUCAUGUAAAUUUGUCUUCCCAUUUGAACCCAGAUCCAAAGGGGUUCAAAGACUUGGCCAGAAGAGAGGAGCAGGUGUGAAUCCCAAAGCCCACCUCCAGCCACAAGGGUCCAGUGCUUCCAGUUCCAACUGGGCAAUGUGGGGAAUGAAUGUUUCACCAUUAUUGUUGUUAAUCACCAUUUCUCAUUUUCAUAACAUUGUAUGAUGGAACAUAACUAUGGAAACUGAAAAAUUAAAACUAUAUCCUAAUAGAACAGGAAAAAAAUAAUACAACAUCAUAUACAAAAAAUAAUAUAGAAAUCCAAGCUUCUCAAGAUAUGACAAUGCAAAUGUAUUGAGCAAAUGUUAUUUUUUAACUUCUUAUAUAAAAAUGCUGUAUUAUUUCCAUGUGUGUAAAAGGGGAAAAUGUAAACCUAUUUAUGCACCUUUUUUUUUUUUUGAAAGGAAAACCUAUCUCAGGUGGCCCAAGGACAUGCCUGUGUUCCUCCAUCUAUCAAAUCAGGCUGUGCAGGAGAUUCACUGCUCUGUGGUAGGGAUACAAUGUGCAAAUGAUGGGGGCUGGAACCAUCAAUAAACUUGUCCCCAUGAAAAUGAUGACAGAAUCUCUUGCUAUUAUUAAGAGCUAUUUAAAAAGCUAACUCAAAAGGAUGCCAGCUGGUGACCUUGUUGCUAGACUCAGUAAAGAAGAAAAUAAUUAAAUUAGCAUGACUCUUCAAAUUCAUUCUCACUUGGUAGAGGUCUGGAAUUGAUCAUCAUGGCGGCAUGUGAAAACUUGCUUCGUAGUGUUUGGCGACAGUACUAUUUAAUAGAUGAACAGCAUACAAAGGCUGAUAAUGUCAAUAUUCAUUUUUAUUAAGUUUACUCAGUCAAAACAGACCUAGAAGUUCGAUCACAGAGUCUCAGGUUCCUUCUAUUUAAAAGAUGAAGGAUAAUUAAACUUCACCAAACUCUUCAUUGAAGAGAGGCGUCUUAAUGCAGUCAAGGUGUGCAUCUGUCCUCACCUUAACCUCAUUCCAGCUGUUUUUCUCACCUGUACUGUGUUUAAAAACAAAAUGUGACUGGCUGUAGAACAGGGUGAAAACAAAGUAUUAGGGUAUCACACACUAUUGUCAGAUCUUUUAUAGUUUAUUAAAUUCUUCCUGUCCUUUUUUUCCUCAUAAAAAUAAACCAAUAAAUU
RNAcentral lists this long non-coding RNA (1631 nucleotides) under Mus pahari (shrew mouse). RNAcentral describes it as "RIKEN cDNA 2610300M13 gene (MGP_PahariEiJ_G0005034.1)". Lineage: Eukaryota; Metazoa; Chordata; Mammalia; Rodentia; Muridae. The record is from RNAcentral.